GGGGAACAAGAAGACCAAAGAUGUGCAGUUCUAUGUGGAAGUGAUGGAAUCAGUCCAGACUUUGGGUGGUGGAAAGAGGUCUGCGUAUGACCCUGAUGAAAUUGAAGAAGAGCAAAGGGAAAGGGACAGGAAGAAUAAGAUCAGCAUGGAUUUUCAGAGCUUUGUAAAUCGGGUAAAUGAUCUUUGGAGCCAACCCCAGUUUAGUGGACUCAACCUUGAGUUUGAUCAGCCUUUGAGAGAGCUUGGCUUCCAUGGGGUGCCCUACAAAACCUCAUCUUUCAUCAUCCCAACUUCAAGCUGCUUGGUUGAGCUAAUUGAGACUCCCUUCCUUGUUGUCACCCUGAGUGAGAUUGAGAUUGUGAACUUGGAGAGAGUUGGUCUUGGACAGAAAAAUUUUGAUAUGACCAUUGUGUUUAAGGAUUUCAAGCGCGAUGUCCUUAGGAUUGAUUCUAUUCCAUCAACAUCACUGGAUGGCAUAAAGGAAUGGCUCGACACGACAGACAUCAAGUAUUAUGAGAGCAAGUUGAAUCUGAACUGGCGGCAGAUACUGAAGACAAUAACUGAUGACCCUCAGAGUUUCAUAGAUGAUGGGGGCUGGGAAUUUUUGAAUUUGGAAGCUAGUGAUUCAGAUUCUGAGAACUCAGUGGAUUCAGACCAGGGUUAUGAGCCAUCAGAAGCAGAACCCGACUCUGACUCAGAAGAUGAUGACUCUGACAGUGAGUCACUAGUGGAGUCUGAGGAUGAGGAUGAGGAGGAGGAUUCAGAGGGAGACUCUGAGGAAGAAAAGGGCAAGACAUGGGAAGAGUUAGAGAGGGAAGCAAGCAAUGCAGACAGGGAGAAAGGGGAUGAGUCAGAUAGUGAGGUGGAGAGGAAUAGAAGGAAAAUAAAGGCUCUUGGGAAGUCUCGAGCCCCUCCUAGGAGCAGCAUGGCCAAGCGUUCCAGGUUCAGAUAGAUGCCAUAGGAAUUUUUUUCUAUUCUUUGUAUUGUGUAGCAGCCGCAAGCAGCUGCUUUAGAAUGCAGUUUCCUGACCUGGCAUUGAAGCCAUUAGCUAGUGGUAGUUUUUAAAGGUUCUUAUUUAAUCGAUUGCAUCUUUUGAACAUCAAAGUAUGAGUCUUGGAAGAUAGAUUUGUGGUUGUAAGUUGGUGAUAUUAGUUUUAGUGGAAUUAAGGUUCUACUACUGUUCACAGAAAUUCUGGAAAGAAAAGAAAAUUCACUAAUCAUCUGUGUACUCUUCUUUAUGCUUUAAGAUUAAAUAAUUGUAUUGGGGUUAAGGAAGUCUCCUUGGUUCAAACAAGCUGAUUGCCACCAGUAAAUUUGAACUGCUUAAAGGAAAGGUUCUUCUGUAAAGGGACUAUUAUUGUACCAUCUUCACUCUGCUCUCUUCAUCAGAAAAUAUUAACAAUAAAUGAAACUAAAAAAGUUUAAUAAUUG
This 1431-nucleotide unclassified non-coding RNA is filed under the name Hevea brasiliensis (rubber tree). Lineage: Eukaryota; Viridiplantae; Streptophyta; Magnoliopsida; Malpighiales; Euphorbiaceae. The record is from RNAcentral.